AUUGAACGCUGGCGGAAUGCUUUACACAUGCAAGUCGAACGGCAGCACGGGGGCAACCCUGGUGGCGAGUGGCGAACGGGUGAGUAAUACAUCGGAACGUGCCCAGUCGUGGGGGAUAACGUAGCGAAAGCUACGCUAAUACCGCAUACGAUCUCUGGAUGAAAGCGGGGGACCGCAAGGCCUCGCGCGAUUGGAGCGGCCGAUGGCAGAUUAGGUAGUUGGUGGGGUAAAGGCUCACCAAGCCGACGAUCUGUAGCUGGUCUGAGAGGACGACCAGCCACACUGGGACUGAGACACGGCCCAGACUCCUACGGGAGGCAGCAGUGGGGAAUUUUGGACAAUGGGCGCAAGCCUGAUCCAGCCAUUCCGCGUGCAGGAUGAAGGCCCUCGGGUUGUAAACUGCUUUUGUACGGAACGAAACGGUGCUCUCUAAUACAGGGCGCUAAUGACGGUACCGUAAGAAUAAGCACCGGCUAACUACGUGCCAGCAGCCGCGGUAA
RNAcentral lists this ribosomal RNA (500 nucleotides) under uncultured bacterium. RNAcentral's name for it is "partial 16S ribosomal RNA". It matches the Rfam family "Bacterial small subunit ribosomal RNA", at positions 29 to 523 of the family's 1533-position model. The record is from RNAcentral.